UCCUUAUCCCUUCCUUUUCUUGAGAUAAUCUCCAGACCGUCUCCGUCUCGUUAGUAAGAAAAGUGAUCAUGUUGCUGUUAGUUAUUGUUGCUGUGUUAUUCUCCGGUUGUUUUGCCAACAUCCUUCAACCAUAUAACGAAACCGCCCUUGCCAUGUUCCAUGGUAACGACUUUAAUGGUGAUAAUAAGUUUGAAAGAUCUGAACUCGAUUUUACUUUCUACGUCUAUGACACUGAACCAUUGGAUGGAGUAAUCAGUCGACUAGAAUAUACGUCAUACAUUAACAAAACAACCCCUGAGCUUUAUAGAUUAUCUCAUGAACUCUAUGACAUCUACGAUAUAGAUAACGAUAACAGACUGGAGAAACAUGACUACGAUGCCUUCUUUAAGCUGAUGGAUUAUGAUGAGGAUGGCUUGGUAACAGAAGAUGAAUUUGUACACUACUGGACAAUCCUUUUGGAAUCUCUCGGUCACUUGAUUGAUAUUGGUGAAGCUAAAUAAUCUGUCAUUUAAACUAAUAAAACUAACAGAAAAUUUAA
This is a long non-coding RNA of Patella vulgata (common limpet), 538 nucleotides long. RefSeq lists it as uncharacterized. The transcript is spliced from 6 exons. The record is from RefSeq and is a predicted model, not a curated record. Lineage: Eukaryota; Metazoa; Mollusca; Gastropoda; Patellidae.